ACUUUCAACAACGGAUCUCUUGGCUCUUGCAUCGAUGAAGAACGCAGCGAAAUGCGAUAAGUAAUGUGAAUUGCAGAAUUCCGUGAAUCAUUAAAUCUUGAACGCAAAUUGCACUUCUUGGUAUUCCGAGGAGUAUGCUUGCUUGAGGGUUG
RNAcentral lists this ribosomal RNA (152 nucleotides) under uncultured Acaulospora. RNAcentral's name for it is "5.8S ribosomal RNA". It matches the Rfam family "5.8S ribosomal RNA". Rfam says of the family: 5.8S ribosomal RNA (5.8S rRNA) is a component of the large subunit of the eukaryotic ribosome. Lineage: Eukaryota; Fungi; Glomeromycota; Glomeromycetes; Diversisporales; Acaulosporaceae. The record is from RNAcentral.